GGGGUUGUGGCUCAGUGGUAGAGCACUCGCCUCACAUGUUUGAGGCCCUGGGUUCGAUCCUCAGCACCA
This 69-nucleotide transfer RNA is filed under the name Ictidomys tridecemlineatus (thirteen-lined ground squirrel). RNAcentral describes it as "Spermophilus tridecemlineatus (thirteen-lined ground squirrel) tRNA". It matches the Rfam family "tRNA". From Rfam's summary of the family: Transfer RNA (tRNA) molecules are approximately 80 nucleotides in length. Lineage: Eukaryota; Metazoa; Chordata; Mammalia; Rodentia; Sciuridae. The record is from Rfam by way of RNAcentral.